GUCCUAGCCGUAAACGGUGUGCACUUGCUGUGGGUGGAUUUAUCCCCUCCCGUGGCGAAGCUAACGCGAUAAGUGCACCGCCUGGGGAGUACGGUCGCAAGACUAAAACUCAAAGGAAUUGACGGGGGCCCCGCACAAGCGGUGGAGCAUGUGGCUUAAUUCGAUGCAACGCGAAGAACCUUACCUGGGUUUGACAUGUGGCUGCAGGCCCCGUGAAAGCGGGGCGGCCUUCGAGGGUGCCACACAGGUGCUGCAUGGCUGUCGU
Molecule: ribosomal RNA, 265 nt
Filed under: uncultured bacterium
Lineage: Bacteria
Description: partial 16S ribosomal RNA
Rfam family: Bacterial small subunit ribosomal RNA
Source: RNAcentral